GCCCUGGCGGCGCAGUGGUUAAGCGUUUGGCUGCUAACCGAAAGGCUGGUGGUUCAAACCCACCCAGCGGCU
This is a transfer RNA of Loxodonta africana (African savanna elephant), 72 nucleotides long. It matches the Rfam family "tRNA". Rfam says of the family: Transfer RNA (tRNA) molecules are approximately 80 nucleotides in length. Their secondary structure includes four short double-helical elements and three loops (D, anti-codon, and T loops). Lineage: Eukaryota; Metazoa; Chordata; Mammalia; Proboscidea; Elephantidae. The record is from Rfam.